CUUUUGGAGAUCGUAUGAACCACAGAUAUAAUCAUCUUUAGCCAACAGAAGUUAUGCCACAAACGACUACAACAAAAUAACGAGUGAAUCCCACAAAUACACAUUCUCUUUCUCAUAGCACAAGCAUAUGCAUUCAUCUUUUCUCAGUUCAAAUGCAAGAAUGUGCAAAUUAGGCCAAUCAAACACCCGAGGAAAACGAGCAUUCCCAUCAUCAUCAGACAGGUAAUCGAUUUCACACAUGCGAUGCAGUGCAAAUUAGGCCAAUCAAACACCGGAGGAAAACGAGCAUUCCCAUCAUCAUCAGACAGGUAUCGAUCUCACACAUGCGAUGCGGAUACUCAUGACACUACUCUAGUAAACCACACUGAAUGUACGGACUAGCUCAGCACAUAUAGCAGCUCUCGGAACCAAAACUACCACCAGCUCAAGGCAAUCCCUUCAUUGGAUCAGCCGUCUUCCCAGACCUGGCGUCAGACCACGCUUUGGCUAUUGUGCGCUUCAUAUCUUCAUCACCUUCCUCAUACAUGCCCU
RNAcentral lists this long non-coding RNA (531 nucleotides) under Triticum aestivum (bread wheat). Its description in RNAcentral is "long non-coding RNA (TAES_LNC025951)". The record is from RNAcentral. Lineage: Eukaryota; Viridiplantae; Streptophyta; Magnoliopsida; Poales; Poaceae.